GGACUUGGACUUUGGUUUUUGAUCAUAAUGUGUGUUGCGACAAACGUACAAAUGAAAACGAAAUUGACGAACACGAAAUAAUCAAACCAUAAGCAGAAAUAAAAGAGAACACAUAGAUUUACAUAAAAAACUCUUUAUAGGAAAAAAUCACGGACGAAAAAGAAGAGAACUUCACUAUCGAAAAAAGAAAAAUACAAUGUUCGAGUACAAUUAACCACAAUCUGUAGCCUCAAGGACAAAAACGAAAAGAAAACUCUUAAUGGAUUUCAAACAUUAUUUUUUCUUCACAAUUUUAUUUUUUAAGUUGGUCGCACCAUGAAACUGUCGACGAGUCGAAAUUUCAAACUAAAGUCGAUUAUCAAUUUCGAAUCAUAUCUAACAAUGUGGUCGUAGACUCGUAGUUGGAUUUUAGUUAU
This 416-nucleotide long non-coding RNA is filed under the name Ananas comosus (pineapple). RNAcentral's name for it is "long non-coding RNA (ACOM_LNC024955)". Lineage: Eukaryota; Viridiplantae; Streptophyta; Magnoliopsida; Poales; Bromeliaceae. The record is from RNAcentral.